Molecule: long non-coding RNA, 960 nt
Organism: Amphiprion ocellaris (clown anemonefish)
Lineage: Eukaryota; Metazoa; Chordata; Actinopteri; Pomacentridae
Source: Ensembl
CGCCCCCCCGUUACUCGGCACACGCUUCGAAGCCUCGGCACGCCUCGUAACAUCACUAUCUGGUAGCAUCUCUGGCUGCUGUUGACCUUGUUUUUGGAGGAAAACACGGUGGAAGCUGAAUUAGUGAGGAUGACUCCUGCUCCUGUCAUCUCUAAGCUCCUCACACAUCUUUACCUGCACAUGAGGAAAAUCACUCCUGUAGAAUGCAGAUGUUCAGAGGGAGAUGAUGCCACAUCUGGUCCAGCUGAUGGAAGGUCUUGAAGUUCUCUGACUGGCCUCGACUGAAGAUGGUCGUCUCACUGGAUUUAAGAUGCACAAUGAGGGACGUCUGCAGAGACUGAGAAAGAGUCUCACCACAUCCUGACAUGAGGAAAAAGACUUUAUUGAAGACUACAAUGAGAAAAACUAUCAGACAGCAGACGGCUGCAUUCAAGGUGAGCUCUGAACAUUUGAUCUGGAACAGGAAUUCAAUAACGGCAGCAUGAGCUUCAUUUCAGUCUGUAGCUGCUGAAUUCAUGGAUGAAUCAUCUGGCACUAGAGAAGAAGACCAUCAAACAUCCACGUCAGCUGAUGGAGGUCCAAGAGUCUCACCCAACAAACAACCGACAGAGUGAAGACCUCGAAUCUGAUUGGACGGCCUCCUAUUCAGCCACAUUUUAGGCUGUUAGAUUGUUCCAGAUAAGACAAGUACAAGAUUCUUCAGAGCCGUUCUACCACGAGCCUGACAGGAAGAACUCCAACAGCUACUGAAUGUUCCUGUGGUUCCCUCAAGGCUACAGGAGGAGUCCUACGAGGACGAGCCGGUCCACCUGAUGGCGGCCAGUCGCUGCGGUUCAAAGCCAACACCGACUACGUGGACUUCUACUGGACCACACGGAGGCCUUCAAACCGGACCAACAAGUUCACCGACUCCCCGACUUGUGGGUCUGAGGACGCCGCCGAGCCUCGGUCCAGCCGGCC